This 718-nucleotide long non-coding RNA is filed under the name Oryctolagus cuniculus (rabbit). RNAcentral's name for it is "lncRNA (ENSOCUG00000035528.1)". The record is from RNAcentral. Lineage: Eukaryota; Metazoa; Chordata; Mammalia; Lagomorpha; Leporidae.
CACGUGGUGUUCAAUUCUGUUUAGAAAAUGAAUCCAUCAGCGUCACUCCCUAAUGAAUCUUCCUGUACCCAGGCCUUAUUGGACCCCUCCCUUUGUCUCCCUCCUGGCUAGCAGCAGGAAUAUCAGUUUUUCAAGAAAACCUACGUUUGCUUUUGCUCCCCCACCCUCAUGAUCCAUAUUGUGAUAAUUUAUUGCUGUGAGACAAGGAAUGGACUGAAAAUUCCUGCAGUAUUGUUGAUGCCAAGACUUGGAUUAACUCAUUGGAAGGAUACGUGUUUCUUGUCAGGAGCUCCCCUCCUCUGAUCCUGUUUCCCCUGAAGAGAGCUAGAAGAAGAGUCUGAAAAGCCCUUGUGACAAGUUAGAGUCUGGAGUUCCUGGGAUGAUGAAAGCCAACCGUGUGCCUGCCCAGAGAAAUUGUGCUUGGAUACAUCCACCUCCUCGUUCAUGUAAUGAGAGAACAAAUAGAAGACCUGGAUGCACUCUGGAGUCAGAGGAGAGAAUUGAGUGUCAGAGAAAUCAAUUGGACUGCCUGAGGUGCUGGAGAAAAACUGAAGAACUGCAGGGACAUCAGGAGCAACAGUGGUCUAUUUUCAGAGAUCAGGUCACUGUUUGUGAAAAGGCUCAAGACAGCUGGAUUGGAAGUAAUGUAAAUACAGAUGAAGGCCGAGACAUUCAGGAGGCAGAAGGCAGGGUCUAACCAGGAGAGGACUCUGGAAAG